Molecule: non-coding RNA, 81 nt
Filed under: unclassified sequences
Source: RNAcentral
AAGAAACUGCCACCGGGUAGCAAGCGUUUGUAAGCAUAUCAUUAGGUCUUUGAAGAUAUGCCGAUCAGGCGCUUAUUUUUU